RNAcentral lists this transfer RNA (61 nucleotides) under Heterocephalus glaber (naked mole-rat). It matches the Rfam family "tRNA", at positions 6 to 65 of the family's 71-position model. From Rfam's summary of the family: Transfer RNA (tRNA) molecules are approximately 80 nucleotides in length. Lineage: Eukaryota; Metazoa; Chordata; Mammalia; Rodentia; Bathyergidae. The record is from Rfam by way of RNAcentral.
UGUAGCUCAGUGAUAGAGCACAUGCUUCGCAUGCAGGAAGCCCUGGGUUCAAUUCUCAGCA